Molecule: ribosomal RNA, 193 nt
Filed under: uncultured bacterium
Lineage: Bacteria
Description: partial 16S ribosomal RNA
Rfam family: Bacterial small subunit ribosomal RNA
Source: RNAcentral
ACUCCUACGGAAGGCAGCAGUGGGGAAUCUUGCGCAAUGGACGAAAGUCUGACGCAGCAACGCCGCGUGAGUGAUGAAGGUCUUUGGAUCGUAAAGCUCUUUCGGGAGGGAAGAAAUGGUUGUGUGCUAAUACCACAUAGCCUUGACGGUACCUUCAGAAGAAGCACCGGCUAACUCUGUGCCAGCAGCCGCG